GGGGGUGGCGUGGUUUCGACGGGAGCCACGGGCACUUAAAACUGCACGCCGUGCUUUUGCCGUGUGCACGUUAAAUAAACGGCGAAAAAUAAGUGCCAACUAUUCAUAUGCCUUGGCUGCCUAAAAAUCAAUGGCAGCCCGUCCUUUAUAACUUGUGCCUGUCCAGGUUAUAAAGGGCGUGGAAAAAGACAGGCUCACGCUAUCUCUGUUCUCGGAGGAGAUGGCGUGAAUAAAAAUUCCGAGAUAGUUCCGCUAUCUUAGGUGCCUGUCCCUAAAGGCGGGACGAACUUUCAAAGACAGGCUAAGCGUGUAGAUGUUUUAAGUGUCUGGCUUCCGGACCCGGGUUCGACUCCCGGCACCUCCACUG
This 367-nucleotide transfer-messenger RNA is filed under the name Bacteroidota (CFB group bacteria). RNAcentral's name for it is "Kryptonium tengchongense Standard tmRNA". It matches the Rfam family "transfer-messenger RNA". From Rfam's summary of the family: Bacterial tmRNA, also known as 10Sa RNA or SsrA, is named for its dual tRNA and mRNA-like properties. Its role is to liberate the mRNA from a stalled ribosome. The record is from RNAcentral. RNAcentral also lists the same sequence under 1 other name. Lineage: Bacteria; Pseudomonadati.